RNAcentral lists this long non-coding RNA (376 nucleotides) under Capsella grandiflora. Its description in RNAcentral is "long non-coding RNA (CGRA_LNC000854)". The record is from RNAcentral. Lineage: Eukaryota; Viridiplantae; Streptophyta; Magnoliopsida; Brassicales; Brassicaceae.
CCAUAACAUAGGUAGGGAUAUCAGCACCUUUGGCUGGUGCAGUGAUGAUCACUUUCGAGGCUCCAGCUUGGAUGUGUUUCCCUGCUCCUGGCCCAUCAACGAACACUCCUGUUCCCUGAUGAUAACAACAUUUAUCUUUUUCGGUUAACUAAGGCGCGAGUUUGCCAUCAUAAAAAAUGCAAAGCUUUAGAUAGGAAAAAUGAAUUUCACCUCGAUGACAAUGUCAAUGCCGAGCUCAGCCCAUGGAAGCUUAAGAGGGUCUCUGUUUGAGACAACUUUGAUGUUCUUACCAUCAACACUGAUAGUUUCAUUAUCCACAAUUUUCACUUCAGCCUUGAAGGUUCCAAGCAUAGAGUCAUACUUGAGCAAGUGGGAU